Molecule: small nuclear RNA, 19 nt
Filed under: Arabidopsis thaliana (thale cress)
Lineage: Eukaryota; Viridiplantae; Streptophyta; Magnoliopsida; Brassicales; Brassicaceae
Description: snRNA_05047
Source: RNAcentral
GUUGAUUCGCACAAUUGGU